GGAUGGGAUGCUACAUUGGUAAUGGUCGGGA
RNAcentral lists this transfer RNA (31 nucleotides) under Umbraria microphylla. Its description in RNAcentral is "Stemodia microphylla partial tRNA-Phe". The record is from RNAcentral. Lineage: Eukaryota; Viridiplantae; Streptophyta; Magnoliopsida; Lamiales; Plantaginaceae.